RNAcentral lists this long non-coding RNA (916 nucleotides) under Sorghum bicolor (sorghum). Its description in RNAcentral is "long non-coding RNA (SBIC_LNC003445)". Lineage: Eukaryota; Viridiplantae; Streptophyta; Magnoliopsida; Poales; Poaceae. The record is from RNAcentral.
GGCAAAGAAGGUCUUUACCGAAUGUUUUUUUGACACUCGGCAAAAAAGCCUUUGCCGAGUGUUUUUCUUUGACAGUCGGCAAAGAGCUCUUUGCCGAGUGCCCGAAAAUAAACACUCGGCAAAGUAUUUAACACUCGACAAAGAUGCGGAUUCCGGUAGUGGCUAACAUGUUAACAGGCAUAAUUGGUGAUUAGUAAGUUUAUGAACAUAUCAAUUUCUAGACAUAUCUCAUAUAGAUUAAAACAGGAUGAAAAAUGGAAUAAGUACAGGUCAAUUCCGGAUGAAAAUAGGAUCCCGUGAAAAUGGGUGAAAAAACUCCUCUCUCCUGUUUCGGUAAAUACGAAAAUACGAUCCCACAAAUACGGAAACAGAAGGAACAAAGUAAAAAAAAAAAGGAACGGGUCGGAACAAGAUCUCUUUUCCUGUCCGUUUUCGUCCUAGCUAGGUUCGUUUUAAAAAAUGGAACCAAAUUUUCUCACCGCCAUGGAUCUUACGCGGAAGAUACAUCUCCUGCAUUGUACUGCUCAGGAGUCAGGACAACCACUAGCAGGGACCUCUCAUUCGUUGCUCCUAGUCCUGUUCGGUCCCGCGCAGAAAAGCACUCACUCCCGUCCAGCACAUGAAAGCAACAAGGAUGCAUACAUUGACAACCCGUCCCAUUCAAUACUGCGCAAAUCAAAUGAUCUAAUAAGUUAGUACGAGUGAUCGUGGAUAAUUCAAAAAGUAAGUAGAAAAGAAACAAAGAAGCUGAGUCCACCAAACAGACAAACAGCAAGGAAACAAAAUUCACUAUCCACACUAGCUCCAAGCCUAGAGAUUUUAGUAAAAAAUUACCCUCCAAUAAAUAUAGUCAUCCUUUAUUUCGAAUUUUUUCUAUCCAAAAAUAGAAGACAGGAAUGGCUCCCUAGAGGAUGCA